Molecule: ribosomal RNA, 606 nt
Filed under: uncultured fungus
Lineage: Eukaryota; Fungi
Description: eukaryotic LSU rRNA
Rfam family: Eukaryotic large subunit ribosomal RNA
Source: RNAcentral
ACCCGCUGAACUUAAGCAUAUCAAUAAGCGGAGGAAAAGAAACCAACAGGGAUUGCCUCAGUAACGGCGAGUGAAGCGGCAAGAGCUCAGAUUUGAAAUCCUGUACGUUAGCGUGCACGAGUUGUAAUCUGCAGAGAAUGUUUCGGCUGAGGCGCCGGUCAAAAUUCCUUGGAAUAGGAUUACACAGAGGGUGAGAAUCCCGUAUCCGGCUGGCGGUCAAGGCUAUGUGAAACUUCUUCGACGAGUCGAGUUGUUUGGGAAUGCAGCUCUAACUGGGUGGUAAAUUCCAUCUAAAGCUAAAUAUCUGCGAGAGACCGAUAGCGCACAAGUAGAGUGAUCGAAAGAUGAAAAGCACUUUGAAAAGAGAGUUAAAAAGUACGUGAAAUUGUUGAAAGGGAAGCGCUUGCCAUCAGAAUUGGGUCCGGUCGAUCAGCGUUCCUUCUGGUUCGUGCACUCGUCCGGUUCCCGUGCCAGCACCAGUUGAAGCGGCAGGACAAAGACGCCGGGAAUGUGGCUCCUCUCGGGGAGUGUUAUAGCCUGGCGUGUAAUGCUGCCAGCAUCGACUGAGGACCGCGCUUCGUGCAAGGGUGCUGGCCUAAUGGUUGU